AUGAUUGUUGACUCAACAUUUAUUUCGUGCUUGAGUUGGAGGGACCUCCCUCCAUCGAGUCAAGUAAUUCGCUAUCGGAAAUUUAGCCGCCGCGUAUCUCAUGCCAUGCUUCUUGUUUCUCCGAAUUGGUUCCGUCUGUCAGUCAAUCAAGAUUCGCCAUCAAGAGAGGGAAGAGCCUUGACUUUCGGAAUCGGCAAAGACCUUCUUGUACACGUCCUAGAGGGCUGCAUUCAUGGCAAUCAUCACUAG
Molecule: non-coding RNA, 249 nt
Organism: Vicia faba (fava bean)
Lineage: Eukaryota; Viridiplantae; Streptophyta; Magnoliopsida; Fabales; Fabaceae
Source: the annotation of a GenBank genome assembly